CUCAGGAUGAACGCUAGCUACAGGCUUAACACAUGCAAGUCGGGGGGGAAACGAUAGAGAAAGCUUGCUUUUUCUAGGCGUCGACCGGCGCACGGGUGAGUAACGCGUAUCCAACCUGCCCACACUUGGGGAUAACCUUGCGAAAGUAAGACUAAUACCCAAUGACGUCUCUAGAAGACAUCUGAAAGGGAUUAAAGAUUUAUCGGUGAUGGAUGGGGAUGCGUCUGAUUAGCUUGUUGGCGGGGUAACGGCCCACCAAGGCUACGAUCAGUAGGGGUUCUGAGAGGAAGGUCCCCCACAUUGGAACUGAGACACGGUCCAAACUCCUACGGGAGGCAGCAGUGAGGAAUAUUGGUCAAUGGGCGAGAGCCUGAACCAGCCAAGUAGCGUGCAGGACGACGGCCCUAUGGGUUGUAAACUGCUUUUUAUAAGGGAAUAAAGUGAGUCUCGUGAGACUUUUUGCAUGUACCUUAUGAAUAAGGACCGGCUAAUUCCGUG
This 498-nucleotide ribosomal RNA is filed under the name uncultured bacterium. Its description in RNAcentral is "bacterial SSU rRNA". It matches the Rfam family "Bacterial small subunit ribosomal RNA", at positions 23 to 507 of the family's 1533-position model. The record is from RNAcentral.